Molecule: ribosomal RNA, 500 nt
Filed under: uncultured bacterium
Lineage: Bacteria
Description: partial 16S ribosomal RNA
Rfam family: Bacterial small subunit ribosomal RNA
Source: RNAcentral
AUUGAACGCUGGCGGAAUGCUUUACACAUGCAAGUCGAACGAUGAACCUUAGCUUGCUAGGGGGAUUAGUGGCGAACGGGUGAGUAACAUAUCGGAACGUACCUAGUAAUGGGGGAUAACUAGUCGAAAGAUUAGCUAAUACCGCAUACGCCCUGAGGGGGAAAGUAGGGGAUCUUCGGACCUUACGUUAUUAGAGCGGCCGAUAUCUGAUUAGCUAGUUGGUGGGGUAAAGGCCUACCAAGGCGACGAUCAGUAGCUGGUCUGAGAGGACGAGCAGCCACACUGGAACUGAGACACGGUCCAGACUACUACGGGAGGCAGCAGUGGGGAAUUUUGGACAAUGGGGGCAACCCUGAUCCAGCCAUUCCGCGUGAGUGAAGAAGGCCUUCGGGUUGUAAAGCUCUUUCGCAAGGGAAGAAAACUUACAUUCUAAUAAAGUGUGAGGCUGACGGUACCUUGAUAAGAAGCACCGGCUAACUACGUGCCAGCCGCCGCGGUAA